RNAcentral lists this ribosomal RNA (550 nucleotides) under uncultured bacterium. RNAcentral's name for it is "bacterial SSU rRNA". It matches the Rfam family "Bacterial small subunit ribosomal RNA", at positions 355 to 896 of the family's 1533-position model. The record is from RNAcentral.
UAGGGAAUCUUCGGCAAUGGACGGAAGUCUGACCGAGCAACGCCGUGUGAGUGAAGAAGGUUUUCGGAUCGUAAAGCUCUGUUGUAAGAGAAGAACGAGUGUGAGAGUGGAAAGUUCACACUGUGACGGUAUCUUACCAGAAAGGGACGGCUAACUACGUGCCAGCAGCCGCGGUAAUACGUAGGUCCCGAGCGUUGUCCGGAUUUAUUGGGCGUAAAGCGAGCGCAGGCGGUUAGAUAAGUCUGAAGUUAAAGGCUGUGGCUUAACCAUAGUAGGCUUUGGAAACUGUUUAACUUGAGUGCAAGAGGGGAGAGUGGAAUUCCAUGUGUAGCGGUGAAAUGCGUAGAUAUAUGGAGGAACACCGGUGGCGAAAGCGGCUCUCUGGCUUGUAACUGACGCUGAGGCUCGAAAGCGUGGGGAGCAAACAGGAUUAGAUACCCUGGUAGUCCACGCUGUAAACGAUGAGUGCUAGGUGUUAGACCCUUUCCGGGGUUUAGUGCCGUAGCUAACGCAUUAAGCACUCCGCCUGGGGAGUACGACCGCAAGGUUG